This 1292-nucleotide long non-coding RNA is filed under the name Homo sapiens (human). RNAcentral describes it as "HSALNT0113295". The record is from RNAcentral. Lineage: Eukaryota; Metazoa; Chordata; Mammalia; Primates; Hominidae.
GCUCCGGGGUAGGUGGGUGACGGCGGUCGGAGGUGUAGGAGGGAGCCGUGGAGGUCCAGGUGACUGCUUAGAAAACUGCACAGCAUCUGAUGAAAUUAGCGAAUAAGAACAUCAACCAUGUCUUACACUCCAGGAGUUGGUGGUGACCCCGCCCAGUUGGCCCAGAGGAUCUCUUCUAACAUCCAGAAGAUCACACAGUGUUCUGUGGAAAUACAAAGAACUCUGAAUCAACUUGGAACACCUCAAGAUUCACCUGAAUUGAGGCAACAGUUGCAACAGAAGCAGCAGUAUACUAACCAGCUUGCCAAAGAAACAGAUAAGUACAUUAAAGAGUUUGGAUCUCUGCCCACCACCCCCAGUGAACAGGUAUCAAGCUUUAAGACACAUUGUUGAUGUAUUGAAUGUGAAAAAAACCCAGUGCACUGUAGGAUCUUUGAACUGUUACGCUAGAAAGGAAAUUAUGCUAGAAAGGAAAUCAAAAAUAAUUCUGUUUGAGAUUAGUUCACAGAACACAAAACUAUAUUUAAUUGCUCAGGUAGUAUCCUGUGGUUCAAUAAAGCAAAAAUUAUUUCCAUGCAUUUGCCCUGACCCAUAAUUAAGUUAGUUCUCAGAAAAUGCUUCCUGAGUAAUUAUUUCCUGGCCUUCCGGGGCUGACUGCGUGGAACAUGCAGGCUCAUUCAAGAUGUGAGGUGUCCUGGGGGCACAUAUUUAUUUCCCUGCUUAUUUAAUGGAAGUUAUUACUUAGCUAAAAGUAUAAGGCUUUAUUUGCCUGAAAAAGAAUUACUUUAAAAUAGCCUCAAAAUAAUAAGCUAGUUUUUAGCAGCGUGAAAACCUGAGGUGAGAAAUCCAGCAUAAUGGGUCUUUUGCCUCAAGUUAAAUAUGCACAGUAUUUGACAUACUAUCAGAAUGUUACUGAGAGUUAAUCUGUAAGGCCCUGUAAUUGGGGAGUAAGUGAAAACUUCAGGGUUAAAUAAAGAGCCAACUACCGCAAAUUCAGUUGAACUUCACAGCUAGAUUCUAGUUGGCUUUUUCUUCUCUUUCCUCUAGCGUCAAAGGAAAAUACAGAAGGAUCGCUUAGUGGCAGAGUUCACAACAUCACUGACAAACUUCCAGAAGGUCCAGAGGCAGGCUGCUGAGCGAGAGAAAGAGUUUGUUGCUCGAGUAAGAGCCAGUUCCAGAGUGUCUGGCAGUUUUCCUGAGGACAGCUCAAAAGAAAGGAAUCUUGUAUCCUGGGAAAGCCAAACUCAACCUCAAGUGCAGGUGCAGGAUGAAGAAAUUACAGAGGAUGACCU